AUCGAUGAAGAACGCAGCGAAAUGCGAUAAGUAAUGUGAAUUGCAGAAUUCAGUGAAUCAUCGAAUCUUUGAACGCACAUUGCGCCCUCUGGUAUUCCGGGGGGCAUGCCUGUUCGAGCGUCAUUACAACCCUCAAGCUCAGCUUGGUAUUAGGCUCCACCUGCAAAGGCGGGCUGUAAAAUCAGUGGCGGUGCCAUUCGGCUUCAAGCGUAGUAAUUUUUCUCGCUUUGGAUGACCGGUUGAGUGCUUGCCAGCAACCCCAAUUUUUAUCAAGGUUGACCUCGGAUCAGGUAGGGAUACCCGCUGAACUUAAGCAUAUCAAUAAGCGGAGGAAAAGAAACCAACAGGGAUUGCCUCAGUAACGGCGAGUGAAGCGGCAACAGCUCAAAUUUGAAAUCUGGCUUUCGGGUCCGAGUUGUAAUUUGUAGAGGAUGUUUCGAACAUGGUCCGGUCUAAGUUUCUUGGAACAGAACGCUAUAAAGGGUGAGAGUCCCGUAUGCGACUGGGUGCCUACGUUCAUGUGAAACUCCUUCGACGAGUCGAGUUGUUUGGGAAUGCAGCUCAAAAUGGGUGGUAAAUUUCAUCUAAAGCUAAAUAUUGGCCAGAGACCGAUAGCGCACAAGUAGAGUGAUCGAAAGAUGAAAAGCACUUUGGAAAGAGAGUUAAACAGUACGUGAAAUUGUUGAAAGGGAAGCGCUUGCAACCAGACUUGCAUGCAGUUGAUCAUCCGGCGUUUUCACCGGUGCACUCGAUUGUAUUCAGGCCAGCAUCGGUUUUGGUGGUUAGAUAAAGGCCUUGGGAAUGUAGCUUCUUUCGGGGAGUGUUAUAGCCCUCGGUGCAAUGUAGCCUACCGGGACCGAGGACCGCGCUUCGGCUAGGAUGCUGGCGUAAUGGUUGUAAGCGACCCGUCUUGAAACACGG
Molecule: ribosomal RNA, 921 nt
Filed under: uncultured fungus
Lineage: Eukaryota; Fungi
Description: eukaryotic LSU rRNA
Rfam family: Eukaryotic large subunit ribosomal RNA (bases 277-921)
Source: RNAcentral